This is a non-coding RNA of Xenopus tropicalis (tropical clawed frog), 47 nucleotides long. NCBI's taxonomy places the organism in Eukaryota, Metazoa, Chordata, Amphibia, Anura, Pipidae. The record is from Rfam.
ACAAAGGCUCUUCUAAGGGCCACCCACUCCCUCCCUAAAAGAUCUGU